UGGCGGACGGGUGAGUAAUGUCUGGGAAACUGCCUGAUGGAGGGGGAGUAACUACUGGAAACGGUAGCUAAUACCGCAUAACGUCGCAAGACCAAAGAGGGGGACCUUCGGACCUCUUGCCAUCGGAUGUGCCCAGAUGGGAUUAGCUAGUAGGUGGGGUAACGGCUCACCUAGGCGACGAUCCCUAGCUGGUCUGAGAGGAUGACCAGCCACACUGGAACUGAGACACGGUCCAGACUCCUACGGGAGGCAGCAUG
Molecule: ribosomal RNA, 257 nt
Filed under: uncultured bacterium
Lineage: Bacteria
Description: partial 16S ribosomal RNA
Rfam family: Bacterial small subunit ribosomal RNA
Source: RNAcentral